RNAcentral lists this ribosomal RNA (943 nucleotides) under uncultured organism. RNAcentral describes it as "bacterial SSU rRNA". It matches the Rfam family "Bacterial small subunit ribosomal RNA", at positions 13 to 959 of the family's 1533-position model. The record is from RNAcentral.
UUGAUCCUGGCUCAGAACGAACGCUGGCGGUGUGCUUAAUACAUGCAAGUCGAGCGAGAAAGUAUCUUCGGAGUGCGAGUACAGCGGCGAACGGGUGAGUAACACGUAAGAAACCUGCCCCUAAGUUCGGGACAACCCUGCUAACGCGGGGCUAAUACCGGAUGUGGAUUUUUUACUGCAUGGUAAAAAAUCUAAAGGAUUUAUUCGCUUAGGGAUGGUCUUGCGGACCAUUAGUUUGUUGGUGGGGUAACGGCCUACCAAGACCGUGAUGGUUAGCCGACCUGAGAGGGUGAUCGGCCACAUUGGGACUGAGAUACGGCCCAGACUCCUACGGGAGGCAGCAGUAGGGAAUUUUGCGCAAUGGACGAAAGUCUGACGCAGCAACACCGCGUGAGGGAUGAAGGUUUUCGGAUUGUAAACCUCUGUUGAGUGGGAAGAAACGGCUUCGGCCUUGACGGUACCACUCGAGGAAGCCCCGGCUAAAUACGUGCCAGCAGCCGCGGUAAUACGUAUGGGGCAAGCGUUGUUCGGAAUCACUGGGCGUAAAGGGAGCGUAGGCGGAUUAGUAAGUUAGGGGUGUAAUCUCCGGGCUCAACCCGGAGCUUGCCUUUAAUACUGUUAGUCUUGAGUAGUGGAGAGGAAGACGGAAUUCCAGGUGUAGCGGUGGAAUGCGUAGAUAUCUGGAAGAACACCAGGUGCGAAGGCGGUCUUCUGGCCACAUACUGACGCUGAGGCUCGAAAGUGUGGGGAGCGAACAGGAUUAGAUACCCUGGUAGUCCACACCGUAAACGAUGGACACUAGAUGUCGGAAUCGCAAGGUUUCGGUGUCGUAGCUAACGCGUUAAGUGUCCCGCCUGGGGAGUACGCUCGGCAGAGUGAAACUCACGGGACUUGACGGGGGCCCGCACAAAGCGGUUGGAGCAUGUGCCUUUAUUCGACGCAA